UACGAAGGGGGCUAGCGUUGUUCGGAUUUACUGGGCGUAAAGCGCACGUAGGCGGAUCGUUAAGUCGGGGGUGAAAUCCUGGAGCUCAACUCCGGAACUGCCUUCGAUACUGGCGAUCUAGAGUCCGGAAGAGGUGAGUGGAACUCCUAGUGUAGAGGUGGAAUUCGUAGAUAUUAGGAAGAACACCAGUGGCGAAGGCGGCUCACUGGUCCGGUACUGACGCUGAGGUGCGAAAGCGUGGGGAGCAAACAGG
Molecule: ribosomal RNA, 253 nt
Filed under: uncultured bacterium
Lineage: Bacteria
Description: partial 16S ribosomal RNA
Rfam family: Bacterial small subunit ribosomal RNA
Source: RNAcentral